AGACGAAAGAAAGAAAACUUGGUGAGGGAGCGGAUAAGACUGGAAAAGCAAAAUGAGAAGCUUGUAAUUAAAAACAGCCAAUUGAAAAGAAAACAAGCGGAGAGCAAUUGAAAAGAAAACAAGCGGAGAGCAUUGCACAAACAGGAAGAUAUGCUCCAGAAAAGGCCGUAGCAUUGCACCAAAUCUCAUUAUUCUCUCCGCCUCUCACUCUCGUCUCCCUCUUCUCCCUUUUUAUCUUCUUCUACGCAAUCCCUGAUUUGGUUUCGAUUUGAAACCCACUUCCUGUGUAGAUCUUCGACUCAACACAUGCAACUCUUCCAUAUCUAUGUUAACUUCUACCAAAACCAUAUACAAACCGAUUUUUCAUUUUGAUUUUGGUAUAGUUAGGGUUUUUGAACUGAUUUUAAUUAGGUCGAUGUAAUUGAAUCUAUAUUCAUUGAGGAGAGUCUUUUGGUACUUGAUUUCUUCAUUCUCAUUUUUGUAUUUCUGGUGAUAUUGAGGUAAAAAAAAAAAAUCCGAGUUUGGAUAGAUCGGGUUUGAUUUUUUGAUUUCCAUCUGAAACUUUAAUUAUUCAUAGUUUGCUGUAGAAAAAUAUGAUAAUGAGGAGUUUUAAGUGAAACUUUGUUUUUGAUUUUAUGAAUCUUUUGAGUAAGUAUUAAAACCCUAAUUAAAAAAAUUUCUUUAAAUUUCAGUUUCAGUUGUAAACCCUAACAUUUUUGUUUUUGAUUUUAAUUUCAGACACCUCCAAUUUCAGAUAGGGCUUCUGUUUAAGAUAUUCAGAUAAGGUUUACGGAUCUUCAGCUCUUGGUGAAAAAGUUACAGGACAAAAUCCAAAGGUAGCUAAACAAGACAGGAAGAGGAAGCCUAGAGGUAGAACUCAUAAGAGGAUGUAAGGUAACAGAAGUUUGGUCACUGCUGGGAACUGAAGGAGCUUGAGAAAGCGCUGGUGAUGAUGGUAACUAGCUCGCUGCUAGUGGUCGAGUUUUCAUGGUCUGAACUAGUGGUGGUGAGUUAGUGUUUGGAAAGGGAGCUGCUGAUGAAAUAUUCUGCGUGCUGAGAUAAUAUCAACAUUGAGAUUUCUAAUGCACAACACAACAAUGCACAGCAGAAAAGUGCUUUUGCAAAAGCCGCAGCAAUACCAAACUAAGCUUUAGUUGAGUGGGUACUUACUGAACUAAGACAACCUAGUGCAUAUGGUUUUGUUUUCUUCGGAUCCAGAGAGGAAGCUAGAGAGGAAGGAAACUGCUAUUACUGCUUUUAAGGGGAAGGGAAAGGCAAAGAAAGCGAUAAGCUAAAGGUAGAACCUAGCUGAGAAGAGAUGCGCACUGCAGUGAGAGACACACUGAAAGAAAUGGAUGUUAAUACUGAAGUUGGAACACAUUGUUCUUGUGCAUUAUAGAGAAAUAAAAAAGGUAACAAAGAAUGCGAGGAAGAAAUAAAAAGAAGUCUUUGUUUGUGUUCCCUUCAUUAUGGUAUACUGAAAUGCAACUAGUUGUUUCGGUAUGUUAUUAGGUGUUCACUUCAUUGCAGUUUACUGAAGUCCAAUUGGUAAUUGUGGUCAUGGUGUAAAAGUUUCGGCAGAAGGAUAUUCAAGGGGUCAUCAAGCAUCUUUCAUUAGGGGAACCAACAGCAGUAAGAUCGCUCGAGUUCGACACCUACCUUAUUUGCUACAAGAUUAGCAAGCAAACCAAAAGAUAGUCUCUGUAAGGUUGUAACAUCAUUUGUUAUUAUGAAAAGCUUAACUUUCAUUCACCGUAAAGAAGUGAACUACAUUUUCAGGCAAUUAUAUGAAAUUUUAAUUUCUUAUUGUGUA
Long non-coding RNA from Papaver somniferum (opium poppy), 1813 nucleotides. RefSeq lists it as uncharacterized. The transcript is spliced from 7 exons. Lineage: Eukaryota; Viridiplantae; Streptophyta; Magnoliopsida; Ranunculales; Papaveraceae. The record is from RefSeq and is a predicted model, not a curated record.